AACGCGAAGAACCUUACCUGGUCUUGACAUCCACGGAAGUUUUCAGAGAUGAGAAUGUGCCUUCGGGAACCGUGAGACAGGUGCUGCAUGGCUGUCGUCAGCUCGUGUUGUGAAAUGUUGGGUUAAGUCCCGCAACGAGCGCAACCCUUAUCCUUUGUUGCCAGCAGUCCGGCCGGGAACUCAAAGGAGACUGCCAGUGAUAAACUGGAGGAAGGUGGGGAUGACGUCAAGUCAUCAUGGCCCUUACGACCAGGGCUACACACGUGCUACAAUGGCGCAUACAAAGAGAAGCGACCUCGCGAGAGCAAGCGGACCUCAUAAAGUGCGUCGUAGUCCGGAUUGGAGUCUGCAACUCGACUCCAUGAAGUCGGAAUCGCUAGUAAUCGUGGAUCAGAAUGCCACGGUGAAUACGUUCCCGGGCCUUGUACACACCG
Molecule: ribosomal RNA, 434 nt
Filed under: uncultured bacterium
Lineage: Bacteria
Description: bacterial SSU rRNA
Rfam family: Bacterial small subunit ribosomal RNA
Source: RNAcentral